Homalodisca vitripennis (glassy-winged sharpshooter) is the source of this 318-nucleotide long non-coding RNA. RefSeq lists it as uncharacterized. Lineage: Eukaryota; Metazoa; Arthropoda; Insecta; Hemiptera; Cicadellidae. The record is from RefSeq and is a predicted model, not a curated record. The transcript is spliced from 2 exons.
GUAGGAAUUACGAUGCUCUUACAAUGUUCAUAAGCGCGAUGUUUUUGAUAUUAUUUAUUCUUGUAUUUGGUUCAUGCGAAGAUCAGUUUUGCAAUAGCGUAUUCAAACCUUUUGCACUUGUUGCAACGGUCUGCAUUGUGGACGUAUUGGAAGCCAAUUCAUUAAACUUUGCAUUGUCGAUCUAUCCAAAAGAAGACUUUCUACCAAAUGGCACUGGAGUAAAUGACGCUUGUAGGAAGAACUGAAUGAUAUUGUGGGAUACAUACUUAGUUAAUAACCAAUAUAUUUGUCAGUUAAUAAAGCCUUGUUAUCCACAUU